GGCUGCAGCCGCAGCAGCAGGAUGGGACUAGCGUGCCGUGCCCGCCGGCAGCCGGAGCAGCGGCCGCCUCAGUAACGCGGGCCCCGGGCCGCCGCCGCCGCCACCGCCCCCCACCCGCCCGCGCUCAGCCCAUGCACAAGCCGAGCAGCGGCCGCCGCGGGAGGAGCCGCCGCCGCCCCCGCGCUAGGAGCUGAGGCGCUGAGGCGCUGCGCCGGCAGGAAUCGGGUCGAGCGGGCCGAGCGCGGGUAGCGCGGGGCUGUCGCCGUCGCCGCGCCGGGGAGAUGUGCCCGGAGGAGGGCGGCGCGGCUGGGCUGGGCGAGCUUCGCUCCUGGUGGGAAGUGCCGGCCAUCGCGCACUUCUGCUCGCUCUUUCGCACCGCGUUCCGCCUGCCGGACUUUGAGAUCGAGGAGUUAGAAGCAGCUCUUCACAGAGAUGAUGUGGAGUUCAUCAGUGACCUGAUCGCCUGCCUGCUUCAGGGCUGCUAUCAACGAAGGGAUAUUACGCCUCAGACAUUCCACAGCUACCUAGAAGACAUCAUCAACUACCGUUGGGAGCUUGAAGAAGGGAAACCCAACCCUCUCAGAGAAGCCAGUUUCCAAGACCUCCCUCUUCGCACUCGUGUGGAGAUCCUACACCGCCUCUGUGACUAUCGGCUAGAUGCCGAUGAUGUCUUCGAUCUUCUCAAGGGUCUGGAUGCAGACAGUCUCCGUGUGGAACCGCUGGGUGAAGACAACUCUGGGGCACUCUAUUGGUAUUUCUAUGGAACACGAAUGUACAAAGAAGACCCGGUACAAGGAAACUCCAAUGGAGCCCUCUCUUUGAGCAGGGAAAAUGAAGGACAAAAAAAUGUCUCAAAUGUUCCUGGAAAAACAGGAAAAAGAAGAGGAAGACCCCCCAAACGGAAAAAACUACAGGAGGAUAUUACAGUGAGUGAAAAGCCGGAAGAAAACUCCUUGGCAUCUGAGCCACAGACAAGAAAUGGUUCCCAAGGUCCAGGCCAAGGCACUUGGUGGCUCUUGUGCCAAACAGAAGAAGAAUGGAGACAGGUCACAGAGAGUUUUCGAGAGAGGACCUCCCUGCGAGAACGACAGCUCUAUAAGCUCCUCAGUGAGGACUUCCUGCCUGAGAUUUGCAACAUGAUUGCCCAGAAGGAGACCCCUGUGCUUACCAGAAUGGAAAAGCAGAAGCGCAGAGAGGAGGAGGAAGAACGUCAGAUUCUUCUGGCCGUGCAGAAGAAGGAGCAGGAACAAAUGUUAAAGGAAGAGAGGAAACGGGAGUUGGAGGAAAAGGUCAAGGCAGUGGAAGAUCGAGCUAAAAGGCGAAAGCUCAGGGAAGAACGGGCGUGGCUGCUGGCUCAAGGGAAGGAGCUCCCCCCAGAACUCUCCCAUCUAGACCCCAGCUCUCCCAUGAGGGAAGAAAAAAAGGCUAAGGACCUUUUUGAAUUGGAUGAUGAUUUCACUGCCAUGUAUAAAGUUCUAGAUGUUGUAAAGGCUCAUAAGGAUUCCUGGCCCUUUUUGGAACCUGUGGAUGAAUCUUAUGCGCCCAACUAUUACCAGAUUAUUAAGGUCCCCAUGGAUAUUUCAAGCAUGGAGAAGAAACUGAAUGGAGGUUUAUACUGUACCAAGGAAGAAUUUGUAAAUGACAUGAAGACUAUGUUCAGGAAUUGUCGCAAAUAUAAUGGGGAAAGUAGUGAGUAUACCAAGAUGUCUGACAACUUAGAGAGGUGUUUCCAGCGGGCGAUGAUGAAACAUUUCCCUGGUGAAGAUGGAGACACAGAUGAAGAAUUUUGGAUCAGAGAGGAUGAAAAGCGGGAGAAGAGACGAAGUCGUGCCGGGCGAAGUAGCGGCAGCCAUGUCUGGACCCGCUCUAGGGACCCCGACGGGCCCAACAGGAAGCAGCAGCCUGUGGAGAAUGGAGGGAAAUCGCUGCCCCCUGCACGCCGAGCCCCGUCCACCGUGGACAGUCAGAGGAGCAGCUCCACACAGCCCCCUCGGGAGGUGGGCCCUUCUAAUGGCCGAGGCUUUUCCUGCCCUCUGCAUUAUGGCGGGAUGCCCAGCCACUCACCCCUUUUAAACCAGAUGAGGCCCACAGUACCAGGAACAUUUGGCCCACUGCGGGGAUCAGAUCCUGCCAACUUAUAUGGCUCCUCUAGAGUCCCAGAACCACACCCUGGAGAGCUCGUUCAUCAACAUCAGUCUUUUGCUGUGCAGCCUCCAGUUGGAAUUAACAAUCACCGAGGACCCAGGCUAGGGACACCUGAAGAGAAGCCCAUGUGUGGGGGGCUGACGCACCUUUCUAACAUGGGGUCACAUCCUGGAUCCUUGCAGCUUGGGCACAUGAGUAGCCCCUGUCAGGAUGGAAGCAUGUAUCCCCCUACUCAAUUCCAGCCAGGAUUUAUUCCUCCCAGGCAUGGUGGGGCUCCAGCCCGACCCCCAGACUUUCCUGAAAGCUCAGAAAUUCCUCCCAGCCACAUGUACCGAUCCUACAAGUACCUGAAUCGCGUACACUCUGCUGUCUGGAAUGGGAACCAUGGUGCUGCAAACCCCAGCCCCUUGGGGCCAGAUGAGAAGUCCCACAUGGGGCCCGGACCCUCACACCAGCCUCACACUCUGGGUCACAUGAUGGAUUCCCGAGUGAUGAGACCACCUCUCCCCCCAAACCAGUGGACUGAACAAUCAAGCUUCCUACCUCAUGGAGUUCCUUCUUCAGGGUAUAUGCGACAACCCUGUAAAUCCACUGGACAUCGGUUACAGGCCCCUCCAGCCGCACUGCAGAGUUCUCUGUUUGGGGCACCCUCCCAGGCCCUGCGCGGGGUGCCAGGAGGGGACUCCAUGAUGGACAGCCCAGAGAUGAUUGCCAUGCAGCAGCUGUCCUCCCGCGUUUGCCCUCCAGGUGUGCCUUACCACCCCCAACAGCCUGCUCCCCACCAUUUACCUGGCCCUUUUCCACAGGUAGCUCACUCAGCCUCAGUAACUGUGGCAACCCCCAAAACUGCCUUGGGGGACCCUGGGAGGACACAGGAUAACAGUGAAACAAAAGAGUCUGACAGUGACCGAGCAGAGCCUUUGCCUGGGCUUGAGGAGAAACCACCAGGUGUUGGUGCUUCAGAGGGGGUGUACCUCAAACAACUACCUCAUCCACCUCCCCUGCAGACCGGCUGCACCAGGCAGAGCUCACCACGAGAAAGGGAGACAGAGGGCCUGGAGCUCAAAAGCAAGUCCUCAGAAUCUGGAGACAACUGUAAAGUAACAAAGGGCAAGAAUACCUGGCCCUCAGAUAGCAGCUACACCAGCCCAGCUGCCCAAGGAUGCAUGAGCGACAUCUCUACUGUGGCAGACAGAGGGGCUCUACCUGAAAAUGGAGUGAUGGGAGAAGCAUCUCCUUGUGGGUCCGAGGGGAAGGGCCUUGGUGGUUCCGAAAAGCCUCUCUGCCCCCGAGGCAAAGCGUUGCAGGAAACGCUGCCAUGUACUGGACAGAACGCAGCUUCGCCUCCCAGCACGGAUCCCAGUUUGAUGGGAGGCUCUGUGAGCCAGUUUUCUCCCUUGUAUAUGCCUAGCCUGGAAUAUUCAAAUUCAGCUGCUCAUUACCACAUCGGUCCAGGCCUGCAGGGUUUGGGCCCUGUGAUGGGAGGGAAAUCCUCAGUAGCGCAUCCUCAGCAUUUUCGCCCUAGGAACUUUCAGUCUAAUAACCCUCAUUCUGGAAUUUUUCCACGGUUUCCCCCCCACCAAGGAAUGAGAUAUUCUUACCAGGCACCACCCCAGCCUUCCUACCAUCACUACCAGCGAACUCCUUAUUACACGUGUCCACAGGGCUUUUCUGACUGGCAGAGACCUCUCCAUACCCAGGGAAGCCCAAGCGGGCCACCUAGUCAGCCACUCCCACCAAAGCCCCUCUUCUCAGAUAAUAAUGCUGUGGCUAAUUUGCAAGUCUGUGAGACACUGAAUGCUGCCUUAACUUCUCCAACCCGAGUGGAUGCCGUGGCUGCUGAAGUUGUCGCAACUGAUGGGCAGAAUCCUGGUCCAGAGGAAGAGAAGCUGGAUGAAUCCAUGGAGAGGCCAGAGAGUCCCAAAGAAUUUCUAGACCUGGACAACCAUAAUGCAGCUACCAAGCGACAGAGUUCAUUGUCAGCCAAUGAAUAUCUUUAUGGAACUCCUCCUCCACCUCUGAGUUCAGGGAUGGGUUUUGGUUCGUCUCCUUUCCCACCCCAUGGUGUAAUGCUACAAACGGGGCCUCCGUAUACACCUCAGCGGCCGGCCAGUCAUUUCCAGCCCAGGGCUUACUCUUCCUCUGUGGCUGCUCACCCCCCUCACCAUCCAGUGGCCGCCCAACCCAACGGCCUCCCACAGGAGGGCCCCGUCUACAGCUGCCAGGAUGGCCUGGGGCACUUUCAGGCUGUAAUGAUGGAACAGAUUGGCACUGGAAGUGGGACAAGGGGACCUUUCCAGGAAAUGUACAGACCAUCAGGAAUGCAGAUGCAACCCAUGCAGUCACAGUCCUCAUUCCCAAAGACCCCGGCUCCAGUAACAUCACAGGAAGAGCUGCCGCCACACAAGCCCCCAACCCUUCCUCUGGAUCAGAGCUAGUCCAAGGAGGAAAUUAUCCCCAAGGAAAUGGAAAGCUGCACAUGAAGACUGGAAUAUGGAGAAUUUGGGGAAGUGAUCCUCAUCCAUCUCUGCUCCUGUCCCCCCACCCUUCACAGUGCUUUGUUCAUGCCAUCCAGGAGUUGGAGCCAUUCACGGGGCCCCAGAGCAUGCUCCCUAGAUGAGAGCACACAGCUCCCAAAGGUCCUGGGCAGGGCUCUCUCGCGGAGCUGAUGGAGACCGUCAGGAAGAACAAGUGAACCUGGAAUUAGGAUGACUCUUCCAAAUCCUGAGACUUUUGUUCAGGGAAAAUAAUUGUAAACUGGUGGGGAGAAGGCCUACUUAAGAAUGGAGUGGUGUUUUUAAACUUUUAUGAGCAGCUAAACUCAGUGGCUAUCCAUCUUUUAAGAGCUGAAGGCUAUCCUUCCAUCUAGCUGAGGAGAGUACAGUUGCACCUGUUCCUUGACCCAUUUCGUUUCUCAUUUUGGUGGCGGAGUGCUCUCACAUGGCUUUCUCCAGAGGCUUCAGUCCAGAAAGCAGGCUGCUCACUUGCUCUGGUGGCCCGAAUCCUGGAUUUGAACAGUGGGUGCUCCUUCAAAUCCUUUUAUCCCUGAUUUUACCACCAACCCUACCAGAUAGUUGUAAACCAAUCUCGGGAAUUGGGAUCACUAGAGCGUUUCACUUAUUAGAAUAUAAAAUGAAUUAUCAUCUUCUGGUGGGCCUGCCGGACUGUGAUCUAGAAAGCUUUCCUGAUCGAAUACAGCUUUCUGGCUCAAAUCACAUUUUGUGGAAGUGACUACUCAGGUUUGUAUAUGUUAGCAUCAAUAAAGAAAUUGCACAGUU
Choloepus didactylus (southern two-toed sloth) is the source of this 5423-nucleotide RNA transcript. It is a transcript of the gene named cat eye syndrome critical region protein 2, with no coding region annotated. Lineage: Eukaryota; Metazoa; Chordata; Mammalia; Pilosa; Megalonychidae. The record is from RefSeq and is a predicted model, not a curated record. The transcript is spliced from 19 exons.